CCUACGGGAGGCAGCAGUGGGGAAUAUUGCACAAUGGGGGAAACCCUGAUGCAGCGACGCCGCGUGAGUGAAGAAGUAAUUCGUUAUGUAAAGCUCUAUCAGCAGGGAAGAAAAUGACGGUACCUGAGUAAGAAGCUCCGGCUAACUACGUGCCAGCAGCCGCGGUAAUACGUAGGGGGCAAGCGUUAUCCGGAUUUACUGGGUGUAAAGGGAGCGUAGACGGCAGUGCAAGUCUGGAGUGAAAGGCGGGGGCUCAAACCCCGGACUGCUGUAGAAACUGUACGGCUUGAGUGCAGGAGAGGUAAGUGGAAUUCCUAGUGUAGCGGUGAAAUGCGUAGAUAUUAGGAGGAACACCAGUGGCGAAGGCGGCUUACUGGACUGUAACUGACGUUGAGGCUCGAAAGCGUGGGGAGCAAACAGGAUUAGAUACCCCAGUAGUC
RNAcentral lists this ribosomal RNA (440 nucleotides) under uncultured bacterium. Its description in RNAcentral is "partial 16S ribosomal RNA". It matches the Rfam family "Bacterial small subunit ribosomal RNA", at positions 338 to 795 of the family's 1533-position model. The record is from RNAcentral.